GGAGAAUAAGUUGAAGUUCCUGCACUUGUAAUCCAACAGUUUUACUAUCUACCAUUUUAUAGUCUAAAAACUUUGCGACCACAAAUUUUUUCAAGCAUGCAUCUUCUCUCUUAUAUUUCUUCUCAAGUGCAUUCCACAACUCUUUUGAAGUUGUUAUUGCACUAUAGACAUUAUAUAAGUCAUCCUCUAAAGCACUCAAACUGUAACCUUU
This 211-nucleotide unclassified non-coding RNA is filed under the name Hevea brasiliensis (rubber tree). The record is from RNAcentral. Lineage: Eukaryota; Viridiplantae; Streptophyta; Magnoliopsida; Malpighiales; Euphorbiaceae.